CUUGGCAGAGUCCCUGGGACUGAACCUGAUUGGGUGAGGAGGAACUAUCUACCCAGAAAGGACAGAGGAUGGGGGAACAAACCAGGAAAGGUCAUCACCCUCUCCGCUGCUUGGUGAACUCCUAGACGCAGGCAUGCUAACUAUAAGUGAAGAGAGCUCAGGAUCAAAGAGGACAUUGCCCUUGGACCACCGUGCAGUUAGUGAAAGUGGGUUUGUCA
Orcinus orca (killer whale) is the source of this 218-nucleotide long non-coding RNA. RefSeq lists it as uncharacterized. The record is from RefSeq and is a predicted model, not a curated record. NCBI's taxonomy places the organism in Eukaryota, Metazoa, Chordata, Mammalia, Artiodactyla, Delphinidae. The transcript has 3 exons.